AGAAUCAACGCUGGCGGCGUGCCUCAGACAUGCAAGUCGUACGAUUAAAGCUCUCUUCGGAGAGUGCAUAAAGUGGCGUACGGGUGAGUAACACGUAAGUAAUCUACCUUUGAGUGGGGAAUAACAGUCGGAAACGACUGCUAAUACCGCAUAAUGCAGCGGCUCGACAUCGAGACAGUUGUUAAAGAAUUUAUUCGCUUAAAGAGGAGCUUGCGGCAGAUUAGCUAGUUGGUAAGGUAAUGGCUUACCAAGGCAACGAUCUGUAGCCGACCUGAGAGGGUGGUCGGUCACACUGACACUGAAUAACGGGUCAGACUCCUACGGGAGGCAGCAGUCGGGAAUUUUGGGCAAUGGGCGAAAGCCUGACCCAGCAACGCCGCGUGAAGGAUGAAGUAUUUCGGUAUGUAAACUUCGUAAGAAUGGGAAGAAUAAAUGACGGUACCAUUUGAAGGUCCGGACUAACUACGUGCCAGCAGCCGC
This 480-nucleotide ribosomal RNA is filed under the name uncultured bacterium. RNAcentral describes it as "SSU rRNA". It matches the Rfam family "Bacterial small subunit ribosomal RNA", at positions 26 to 518 of the family's 1533-position model. The record is from RNAcentral.